GACGAACGCUGGCGGCGUGCUUAACACAUGCAAGUCGAACGAUGACGAACAGGGCUUGCCUUGUUUUGAUUAGUGGCGAACGGGUGAGUAACACGUGAGUAACCUGCCCCUCACUUCGGGAUAACCAUUGGAAACGGUGGCUAAUACUGGGUAUGACAUCUGGCCGCAUGGUCUGGGUGUGGAAAGCUUUUGUGGUGAGGGAUGGGCUCGCGGCCUAUCAGCUUGUUGGUGGGGUGAUGGCCUACCAAGGCGACGACGGGUAGCCGGCCUGAGAGGGCGACCGGCCACACUGGGACUGAGACACGGCCCAG
RNAcentral lists this ribosomal RNA (311 nucleotides) under uncultured Jonesia sp. Its description in RNAcentral is "bacterial SSU rRNA". It matches the Rfam family "Bacterial small subunit ribosomal RNA", at positions 28 to 334 of the family's 1533-position model. The record is from RNAcentral. Lineage: Bacteria; Bacillati; Actinomycetota; Actinomycetes; Micrococcales; Jonesiaceae.